This 521-nucleotide ribosomal RNA is filed under the name uncultured bacterium. RNAcentral describes it as "bacterial SSU rRNA". It matches the Rfam family "Archaeal small subunit ribosomal RNA", at positions 345 to 866 of the family's 1478-position model. The record is from RNAcentral.
AACCUCCGCAAUGUGAGAAAUCGCGACGGGGGGAUCCCAAGUGCCAUUCUUAACGGGAUGGCUUUUCUUAAGUGUAAAAAGCUUUUGGAAUAAGAGCUGGGCAAGACUGGUGCCAGCCGCCGCGGUAACACCGGCAGCUCUAGUGGUAGUUGUUUUUAUUGGGCCUAAAGCGUUCGUAGCCGGUUUGAUAAGUCACUGGUGAAAUCCUGUAGCUUAACUGUGGGAAUUGCUGGUGAUACUGUUGAACUUGAGGUCGGGAGAGGUUAGCGGUACUCCCAGGGUAGAGGUGAAAUUUUGUAAUCCUGGGAGGACCACCUGUGGCGAAGGCGGCUAACUGGAACGAACCUGACGGUGAGGGACGAAAGCUAGGGGCGCGAACCGGAUUAGAUACCCGGGUAGUCCUAGCCGUAAACGAUGCGGACUUGGUGUUGGGAUGGCUUUGAGCCGCUCCGGUGCCGAAGGGAAGCUGUUAAGUCCACCGCCUGGGAAGUACGGUCGCAAGACUGAAACUUAAAGGAAUU